This 749-nucleotide ribosomal RNA is filed under the name uncultured Methanosaeta sp. Its description in RNAcentral is "bacterial SSU rRNA". It matches the Rfam family "Archaeal small subunit ribosomal RNA", at positions 84 to 833 of the family's 1478-position model. Lineage: Archaea; Methanobacteriati; Methanobacteriota; Methanomicrobia; Methanotrichales; Methanotrichaceae. The record is from RNAcentral.
UACUGCUCAGUAACACGUGGACAACCUACCCUUAGGUCAGGGAUAACCCCGGGAAACUGGGAAUAAUACCUGAUAUGGCGCGAAGGCUGGAAUGCAUCGCGCAAGAAAGCUCCGGUGCCUAAGGAUGGGUCUGCGGCCUAUCAGGGUAGUAGUGGGUGUAACGUACCUACUAGCCUACGACGGGUACGGGUUGUGAGAGCAAGAGCCCGGAGAUGGAUUCUGAGACACGAAUCCAGGCCCUACGGGGUGCAGCAGGCGCGAAAACUUUACAAUGCCGGCAACGGCGAUAAGGGAACCUCGAGCGCCAGGAUACAAUCCUGGCUGUCGUAAUGCCUAAAAAGCAUUUCAUAGCAAGGGCCGGGCAAGACCGGUGCCAGCCGCCGCGGUAACACCGGCGGCUCGAGUGGUAACCGUUAUUAUUGGGUCUAAAGGGUCUGUAGCCGGCUGGAUAAGUCUCUUGGGAAAUCCGGCAGCUCAACUGUCGGGCUAUCAGGAGAUACUGUCCGGCUCGAGACCGGGAGAGGUGAGAGGUACUUCAGGGGUAGGGGUGAAAUCUUGUAAUCCUUGAAGGACCACCAGUGGCGAAGGCGUCUCACCAGAACGGAUCUGACGGCAAGGGACGAAAGCUAGGGGCACGAACCGGAUUAGAUACCCGGGUAGUCCUAGCCGUAAACGAUACUCGCUAGGUGUCGGCCACGGUGCGACCGUGGUCGGUGCCGUAGGGAAGCCGUGAAGCGAGCCACCUGGGA